GAUGAACGCUGGCGGCGUGCCUAAUACAUGCAAGUCGAGCGAACAGACGAGGAGCUUGCUCCUCUGACGUUAGCGGCGGACGGGUGAGUAACACGUGGAUAACCUACCUAUAAGACCGGGAUAACUUCGGGAAACCGGAGCUAAUACCGGAUAAUAUAUUGAACCGCAUGGUUCAAUAGUGAAAGACGGUUUUGCUGUCACUUAUAGAUGGAUCCGCGCCGCAUUAGCUAGUUGGUAAGGUAACGGCUUACCAAGGCAACGAUGCGUAGCCGACCUGAGAGGGUGAUCGGCCACACUGGAACUGAGACACGGUCCAGACUCCUACGGGAGGCAGCAGUAGGGAAUCUUCCGCAAUGGGCGAAAACCUGACGGAGCAACGCCGCGUGAGUGAUGAAGCUCUUCGGAUCGUAAAACUCUGUUAUUAGGGAAGAACAAAUGUGUAAGUAACUAUGCACGUCUUGACGGUACCUAAUCAGAAAGCCACGGCUAACUACGUG
This 497-nucleotide ribosomal RNA is filed under the name uncultured bacterium. RNAcentral describes it as "partial 16S ribosomal RNA". It matches the Rfam family "Bacterial small subunit ribosomal RNA", at positions 28 to 507 of the family's 1533-position model. The record is from RNAcentral.